ACGCUCGACACCUACGGGAGGUAGCAGUGGGGAAUAUUGCACAAUGGGGGAAACCCUGAUGUAGCAACGCCGCGUGAAGGAAGACGGUUUUCGGAUUGUAAACUUCUGUUCUUAGUGAAGAUAGUGACGGUAGCUAAGGAGCAAGCCACGGCUAACUACGUGCUAGCAGCCGCGGUAAUCUGAGCGGGCUGGCAAGGC
Molecule: ribosomal RNA, 198 nt
Filed under: uncultured bacterium
Lineage: Bacteria
Description: partial 16S ribosomal RNA
Rfam family: Bacterial small subunit ribosomal RNA
Source: RNAcentral